Cyanistes caeruleus (blue tit) is the source of this 1578-nucleotide non-coding RNA. The record is from RefSeq and is a predicted model, not a curated record. NCBI's taxonomy places the organism in Eukaryota, Metazoa, Chordata, Aves, Passeriformes, Paridae.
UCUUGUAAUUUCCUACCUGCUGAAUGCUCUAAAAACCCAGAGCUGAAAAGAAUAUAUGCUUAUCCUAAGACUGUGAAAAAUCACUGGUUCAGACAGAAAUCCAUGAGGGACUUCAGUACAUGGAGAAGAAGCUGUAUUUUAAAAAGGCGUAGCUCACCCAUGAUGCUGAUACUUUGAAUUUUAGUUCUGUAAUAACUCUCAGAUGGCUACACUCUGGUCCCAGUGAUUCACAUCUCUUGAAGUUUUCAUACUAUUCAUCAGUUUUGUCUUACUGCACCUCAGUUUCCUUUGUUGUUGUGCUCUCUUUGUGUGCUAUGAAAAGUAUCUGCAGAAGGAACUGGGAACUAAACUAAACAGAAGAAGGUGCCAAAUGCCCGGGGGACAGAGAACCAUUAGUUGCCUGAAACUUCUACAGCUUAUUUAAGUGUCUAGACUUCUUGUAAUGGGACUAAUGAUAAAUAGACAAGGGAAAAGUCUGGUACUUAUUCACAGGGAGAUGUGGAUGGCCAGUCUGUACACAGAUGGUUUAUCUGAGCUGUGUAUAAAAGCUGUGUAAAAAUGGAACACUGUGUCCAUUGCUGUGGACAAAAGGUCCAUACAUGUGUAUGUAUACAUAUGCAUGUACAGAGCCAGCAAAUGUCAGUGCUUUUGAUGUUUUAAAGAUUAAAUGAUUAGAAUGAUACGAUUCAGAAAAGCUUCCCUAAUAGUUAGGGAAUAUUCUAAUAUUUAGAAUCUAGCAUUUAUCCUUUAUCUCUGCUUCUUAUGUGUCCUAAGACUGCCAGCACCACCUUCCUCCAAAAGAACAUACCUGCAGCAAUUACAGCAAGCUUCUAACACCCUGUGGCUCUCACUUCCAGGCAGAAGAUGACAGUGGUUGGAAUUUUUUGUCCUCUCUGCUGGGACCCUACUCAAAAUUCAGUGAGUGAGUUUGUCUGCCUUGGAGGUUCCUUCUGUUGGCCGCUGCCUGGAUGGCAGCCCUUUCCAAAUCAGAAGCAGAUCCCACUGGGAAGCGACAGUCAUAUCUACUUGGAAUCCCAUGAAACCACUAUGACCAUCUGCACCCAAUUACAACAGCUGCUGGUGGUUACUUGAGCAGGGUUGUGGGAAAUAAAGGUCAGGCCAGGGUGGAGGCACACCAUCAAAUUCAUAAGGAAAAAAAAAGAUAUUUAUAUCUCACUGGAUUGUCUCUUCAAGAGAAUGUUCAAUAAUUUGUGGCAAGCAUAGUACUGAGUGUGUCUCAAAAGGCUACCUCGAUGUUGCAGUACAAUGAAGAUGGGUCAAAAUGGCACAGUGUUAUUUCAGUAUGAAUUUCUUUACUUCUCUAAUUAAUAUCUGACCCACCAAAGAUCUCUGCCAUAAAAUAAUACUUUUCCAGACUUGUAACUACUCCAGAAAGUGUUGAAUAGGGCUGAAAUAAUAUCCAACAUAUAAUAACUUUAGAUAAUGGGGGCUUAUGUACAAAUUGUGAAUAAAUAAAUUUGUCAAAGCCAUAGGUUACCUUCUCUAUUAUACAGCUAGACCUUCACAUAUUCCUGAUGGAUAAGGUGUUCUUUCACACCUUUUUUUUUCUUUAAAUGA